GGAGAGGUAGCUUAGUGGUUAAGAGCACUUGUUCUUACAAAGGACCAGGGUUCAAUUCCCUGCAUCCA
Molecule: transfer RNA, 68 nt
Filed under: Neotoma lepida (desert woodrat)
Lineage: Eukaryota; Metazoa; Chordata; Mammalia; Rodentia; Cricetidae
Rfam family: tRNA
About the family: Transfer RNA (tRNA) molecules are approximately 80 nucleotides in length. Their secondary structure includes four short double-helical elements and three loops (D, anti-codon, and T loops).
Source: Rfam by way of RNAcentral